AUGGGGUGCCGACGUCAAGGCCAGAAAACUGCUCCUGAACGCCCCAAUGCUGCCCCGCUCAUGGAGAUGCGAUCACAGUCCGACCCAUCGGAACUAUUUCUUGAGAGCUUUGCUUCGGACAUCGCCGACAUUGUGCAGGUGUACUCAUCUGUUGAUGAGGACGAGUCCAAGUACCUCCAGAUUAUUCCCCUGGAUGUUGAUGCUUUCGGUUUCAAGAAUUCUAGGAAAGAGGGCAAGGAAUCAGGGGAUUUGAAGAUCUCAGGGGAUUGCUUGUUAGAUUCUUACCAUAAUGUCUUAAAGAGGCCCUCUAAGCUAAAGGAACCUGGGAAGGUUGGGAAAGUUGCUAGUAGGAGGAAGCAACGGAGGAUAGGGCUAGGGCUGGAACCAUGGAUGGAUUCGCUGGAUGAUGACCAGACCAAGCGCAUGCCGCUUGAGGAGGUAGCAAACAUUGACAUUGGCUAUGAUGCACCUCCUCCGUCGUCUACUACUGGAUUGGAGCUGCAGAAGCGGAGGAGAGCACGAAUUGAAGUUGCUAAGUGUCGAAUCGCUUCAAUUAGGAAGGCUCCUACCGCAGGCACUACAAAUGCAAUUGAUUCACCGACUGUUCGUGGAAAUGAGGAUGCUUGUCCACCACAAAAAAAUAGUAGGAAGAAGUUGGGUGAAAGAGACUAG
Molecule: ribosomal RNA, 672 nt
Filed under: Triticum aestivum (bread wheat)
Lineage: Eukaryota; Viridiplantae; Streptophyta; Magnoliopsida; Poales; Poaceae
Description: partial small subunit ribosomal RNA
Source: RNAcentral